RNAcentral lists this ribosomal RNA (243 nucleotides) under uncultured bacterium. RNAcentral's name for it is "partial 16S ribosomal RNA". It matches the Rfam family "Bacterial small subunit ribosomal RNA", at positions 528 to 771 of the family's 1533-position model. The record is from RNAcentral.
UAGGGAGCGAGCGUUAUCCGGAUUCAUUGGGCGUAAAGCGCGCGUAGGCGGCUGCCUAAGCGGAACCUCUAACCCCGGGGCUCAACCUCGGGCCGGGUUCCGAACUGGGCGGCUCGAGUGCGGUAGAGGAGAGCGGAAUUCCCGGUGUAGCGGUGGAAUGCGCAGAUAUCGGGAAGAACACCGAUGGCGAAGGCAGCUCUCUGGGCCGACACUGACGCUGAGGCGCGAAAGCUGGGGGAGCGA